RNAcentral lists this ribosomal RNA (655 nucleotides) under Mesembrinella sp. 2 MATM-2015. Its description in RNAcentral is "partial large subunit ribosomal RNA". It matches the Rfam family "Bacterial large subunit ribosomal RNA", at positions 1797 to 2758 of the family's 2925-position model. Lineage: Eukaryota; Metazoa; Arthropoda; Insecta; Diptera; Calliphoridae. The record is from RNAcentral.
CGCUUGUUUAAUAAAAACAUGUCUUUUUGAAAUUUUUAAAAAGUUUAAUCUGCCCACUGAUAUUUUAAAUGGCCGCAGUAUAUUAACUGUGCAAAGGUAGCAUAAUCAUUAGUCUUUUAAUUGAAGGCUGGUAUGAAUGAUUGGACGAAAUAUUAACUGUUUUAAAUAAAUUUAUAUUAAAAUUUUAUUUUUUAGUAAAAAAGCUAAAAUUUAAUUAAAAGACGAGAAGACCCUUUAAAUCUUUAUAUUUAAAUUAUUAAAAUUUUAAAGAAUAUUUUUAUUAUAAUAAUUAAUAAUAUUUUAUUGGGGUGAUAUUAAAAUUAGAAUAACUUUUAAUUUAUAAGAAUCAUUAAUUUAUGAAUUAUUGAUCCGUUAUUAACGAUUAAAAAUUUAAGUUACUUAAGGGAUAACAGCGUAAUUUUUUUGGAGAGUUCUUAUCGAUAAAAAAGAUUGCGACCUCGAUGUUGGAUUAAGAUAUAUUUUUAGGUGUAGCUACUUAAAUUUUAAGUCUGUUCGACUUUUAAAUUCUUACAUGAUCUGAGUUUAAACCGGUGUAAGCCAGGUUGGUUUCUAUCUUUAAUAAAUCAAAAUAUUUCAGUACGAAAGGACCUAAUAUUAAAUAAAUUAUUAUUUUUAUAUUGAAUAUUAUUAAUAU